RNAcentral lists this ribosomal RNA (1620 nucleotides) under human gut metagenome. RNAcentral describes it as "bacterial LSU rRNA". It matches the Rfam family "Bacterial large subunit ribosomal RNA", at positions 352 to 1994 of the family's 2925-position model. The record is from RNAcentral.
CGGCCAGAGAGGGUGAAAGCCCCGUAAGCGAAAGAUGAGUUGACAUGGCGGUAUCCAGAGUAGGUCGAGACACGUGGAACCUUGACUGAACACGCGGGGACCACCCCGUAAGGCUAAAUACUCCUUAGUGACCGAUAGCGCAUAGUACUGUGAAGGAACGGUGAAAAGGACCCCGGGAGGGGAGUGAAACAGAACCUGAAACCAUAUGUUUACAAGCUGUGGAACCAUGUUUUAUGUGGAACCGCGUACUUUUUGUAGAACGGUCCGGCGAGUUGCGCUGGCUGGCGAGGUUAAGCACCAAAGGUGUGGAGCCGAAGGGAAACCAAGUCUUAAUAGGGCGAAAGAGUCAGUCGGAGCAGACCCGAAACCGGGUGAUCUAUCCAUGUCCAGGUUGAAGUUGCCGUAAAAGGCAAUGGAGGACCGAACCCACAUCCGUUGAAAAGGGUGGGGAUGAGGUGUGGAUAGGGGAGAAAUUCCAAUCGAACCCGGAGAUAGCUGGUUCUCCUCGAAAUAGCUUUAGGGCUAGCCUCAUAUAAGUCUUGCGGAGGUAGAGCACUGAAUUUCCUAGGGGGCGUCAAAGCUUACCGAAGAAUAUCAAACUCCGAAUGCCGUGUAGAUGUUGUAUGGGAGUCAGACUGUACGAGAUAAGUUGGACAGUCAAAAGGGAAAGAGCCCAGACCUGCAGCUAAGGCCCCAAAAUGUGUGUUAAGUGGAAAAGGAUGUGGGAUUUCAAAGACAACUAGGAUGUUGGCUUAGAAGCAGCCAUACAUUCAAAGAGUGCGUAAUAGCUCACUAGUCGAGAGGUCCUGCGCCGAAAAUGUCCGGGGCUGAAACACACUGCCGAAGCUCAGGAAUUAACUGAUGUUAAUUGGUAGAGGAGCAUUGUAUACGGGACGAAGCAGUACCGAUAAGGAGCUGUGGACUGUAUAGAAGAGAGAAUGCCGGAAUGAGUAGCGAGAGGAAGGUGAGAAUCCUUCCGGCCGAAUAUCUAAGGUUUCCAGAGUAAAGCUGAUCUGCUCUGGGUAAGUCGGGGCCUAAGGCCAGGUCGAAAGACGUAACCGAUGGACAACAGGUUGAAAUUCCUGUACCUUAAGUAAACAGAACUGUGGGGACACGUGUGGAGAGCACAAGCCGGAAAUGGAAAAGCCGGUGCAAGCGAGGUAGGAGAUGAAUAGGCAAAUCCGUUCAUCAAUCCGAAGACGUGAUGCGGACCGAAUUAAGAGUAGGGAAGUGUGUGAGCCAUGCGUCAAGAAAAGCCGCUAUUGUUUUACUUAAGCCCGUACCGUAAACCGACACAGGUGGAUGAGGAGAGAAUCCUAAGGCCGACGGGAGAAGCAUUGUUAAGGAACUCGGCAAAAUGACUCCGUAACUUCGGGAGAAGGAGUGCCAGCGAGAGCUGGCCGCAGAGAAUUGGCCCAAGCAACUGUUUAGCAAAAACACAGGUCUAUGCAAAACCGUAAGGUGAAGUAUAUGGGCUGACGCCUGCCCGGUGCUGGAAGGUUAAGAGGAGAGGUUAGCGGUGACGCGAAGCUUUGAAUUUAAGCCCCAGUAAACGGCGGCCGUAACUAUAACGGUCCUAAGGUAGCGAAAUUCCUUGUCGGGUAAGUUCCGACCCGGACG